RNAcentral lists this ribosomal RNA (301 nucleotides) under uncultured bacterium. RNAcentral's name for it is "partial 16S ribosomal RNA". It matches the Rfam family "Bacterial small subunit ribosomal RNA", at positions 509 to 807 of the family's 1533-position model. The record is from RNAcentral.
CAGCCGCCGCGGUAAUACGUAGGUGGCAAGCGUUGUCCGGGAUUAUUGGGCGUAAAGGGCUCGCAGGCGGUUUCUUAAGUCUGAUGUGAAAGCCCUCGGCUCAACCGGGGAGGGUCAUUGGAAACUGGGAAACUUGAGUGCAGAAGAGGAGAGUGGAAUUCCACGUGUAGCGGUGAAAUGCGUAGAGAUGUGGAGGAACACCAGUGGCGAAGGCGACUCUCUGGUCUGUAACUGACGCUGAGGAGCGAAAGCGUGGGGAGCGAACAGGAUUAGAUACCCCGGUAGUCCCUGUCUCUUAUAC